AGUAAUGAGUACCAGCGCAAAGCCCUGACUUGCUGGUCGGCAACCCUCUCUCCGGCGGGGUGCCUCAGGUGACUACUCGGCGUAUCGACAACUCGAACUGCAAGCGUGACUG
Molecule: non-coding RNA, 112 nt
Organism: Arthrobacter sp. YN
Lineage: Bacteria; Bacillati; Actinomycetota; Actinomycetes; Micrococcales; Micrococcaceae
Source: Rfam